Long non-coding RNA from Lynx canadensis (Canada lynx), 273 nucleotides. RefSeq lists it as uncharacterized. The transcript is spliced from 3 exons. The record is from RefSeq and is a predicted model, not a curated record. Lineage: Eukaryota; Metazoa; Chordata; Mammalia; Carnivora; Felidae.
CCCCUGGCUUUUGAAGUUCUUCACCGACUCAGCCCAGCGGAUGUUUUCCGAUGCCAAUCCCCCUACCAGCCUGAAUGGAAACACGAGGUGGCAACCAGAACACAUAAAAUGAUGGGUGUGGCCCCAGUCCCUUUGGACAGCCCUGCUCUGGAAGCCCCGGAAGCCGGCGCCCACACCACGGGCGCUUCUCCUGCGCCUCCGCCAGCUCGGCAUUCGCCUCCUCCAGGGCCUGCCUCUUGGGGGCCACGUCACAAUACACCUCGUAGAAGCGCA